GCUUUUGUAGCUUAAAUGGUAGAGCGUACGCUUGAAGCGCGUUGUGUAUAAGUUCAAUUCUUUUCAAAGGCA
This 72-nucleotide transfer RNA is filed under the name Metschnikowia bicuspidata. RNAcentral describes it as "tRNA-Phe". It matches the Rfam family "tRNA". From Rfam's summary of the family: Transfer RNA (tRNA) molecules are approximately 80 nucleotides in length. Their secondary structure includes four short double-helical elements and three loops (D, anti-codon, and T loops). Lineage: Eukaryota; Fungi; Ascomycota; Pichiomycetes; Serinales; Metschnikowiaceae. The record is from RNAcentral. RNAcentral also lists the same sequence under 1 other name.